UCAAGAAUAAGAUCUUUAUAUAGUGUUACAAUUAGGGUAAACCCUAAUUGUCAUGACUUUCCAUUUCCUUGGAUCCAUGGGUUCAAAUACACCAUGGAGCAUCCAUGGACCAUCCUAUGGGUUUUAGCCCAACUUGAUUAUCCAUGGAGCAUUAGCCCACUAUACAAGUAUGGAUGAUUUACACAAUCAACCCAUAUAUUUAAUUAGUCUUCUUUUGAUCACUUAAUUAAUCCUAGAUUAAUUCUUGAUCAAUACUAAUUAAAUAAUCUUAUUAUUCUUAUUAUUAAUAUACUAGAACUUAUAAUAUAUUAAUAACCAUAAGUGUCUUAUUUCUCUCAUUAUAGUCUAUCCAAGUGCAUGAUGCCAUGCAACCCAAAUGGACCAUGCCGGGUCGGGUCAAGUCUUACCAAUUAUAGUUAUGGACUUAGACAUUAAUCCAACAGUCUCCCACUUGGAUAAGUCUAAAACUAUUAUUGCGUAUGACUUCAGGAACCAACUGGCAAUCGUAGCUCUCAAAAGCUUCUGUCGAACUCUGACCUUGUAGAUGAACUCUGACCUUUGUCAAUGACUUGUCCAUUAGAUAAGGGAUCAUAUAUUCCUCCAUUCUAGAUAUCAUAUGGACUGAGACAUGGAUUAUAAUCAUUCUCUCUGUCCAUUUGUUGUUUCCCGAUUUCCGAUUUAUGACGACUGACUAAUUGAACAAAUCAAAUCAGUCCUGGCCCGGCCGAGCACUUCCAUUUGUCAUCAUCAAAUCAUCGAGGGGCCCACAGAUAUCGCUUUUAUCCCGAAGGUAAAAGGAACGGAUAAACUUCGACUCAUAUGGCUUGUUCUACUACUUGUUGAAUCAUACACAAAGGCACGUUUUAUAGCACCGAGUUACCAAAUGCGUUUUCGUGCAAUCAAUGUACUAUCAACUCAUAGUAACAACUCAUAUCUCUAGGUUUGAAGAAUAUAAGAUAUUAUCGUCUCAUGAUCACUCGUGAUAAAAUCCAUGAAGUGAUUCCAAUGAGCGCGGGUUGAAUCCAAUACUCAGAACUUAUGAGCACUCAUGAGUGUUGUAGCCCUUUGUCCAACACCUUAGACCUCUACAAGCCAACCCAUGACAGUCUUAAUUCAUAUCUACUUCCAACAUAUGACCGACUGUGGAUGGUUUGAAUAACUUAGUCAUUCCGGAAGAAUAACCUAGUUUAUUCGGGAAGUCAAAACAUGCAAAGUGAAACACAAUAAUAAUUGAAUCCAAUAUGGUAUCAACCCUUUGAACAUAAAUAAAACACCUUUUAUUUAUCACCAUAUGAUUACACAUUAUUCAUUGUAUACUGUUUCAGCUAUCAACUUUAUUCUUGAAUUUAAAACAAUAGUUGUCCCAUGCUCCAAGCAUGUACACUAUGUUUUCUUAAACACUAGUCAUGCCACACACCAAGUAUGCAUACUAUGUUUGUCUAUGAUCUUUACUUUGUGAACUAGAUCAAUUGAACAUAACUUCAAUGAUUCUCUUUUCACACUCCCAAAUCCUUACUGCAAAUGCAAGAAUUCCAAAUUCAUGCCAUUUACUGAAAUCUGUUAGAUUCUAAACUUAUAUGCAUUGAUCCUCUUGUAAUGAUUAUGCACAAAGUCAGAAAGACUUGACAACAAUCAUUACAGAGUAUUCCAAAGGAGAUCAGCUCCUUGGAAACAUCCUUCUUGCAUUAAGUUUCCUAAUCUUAAACAGAUUGAAAAUUCUAACUUUGAAACAUUUCCAGAUUCCAUUUUGACUAUCACUUCUGAACAAGAGUUGCCUCCUUACAGAUUAUGUCAAUAUGGUCCUUCCAGAAUUAUCACUAUACUUCCAACUGUCCUUGAGCAACCAAUCUUUGGUAAACCUUAGAUUGUCCUCGACAAUUGUUUAAUCCUUUUAGUCAUAUCCAGUUCUAAACCUUUUCCCUUCUUAAUGCCCCAGGCAUUUGGAAAAUUUUAGAACGGAUGAAUAUAGCACAUGUAAUCGAUCCUAUAUCCGAAGCAUAUGGGACACGAUUCAUGAUGUCUCACAUAAAGACUAAACCAGUCUUUUGCUAUAACAUUUCCAUUUCAAUUUGCCAAGUUCUCAUAAUUCAGAUUAUGAAAAGGGAUGCCGUAAUCAUAAUCGAAUUUUAGAACGCAAAUAAUGGACCCAUAUACAGAAUUUCCUUAUGUUGAGCCAUUCCAACAUGAAAUUCAUAUAUAUCCUUGACUAAAUGAUUAAAACCUCACGAUCUAAGCUUAUAGAUUUGAGAUGAAGCAUAAUUUCCUCUCCCUUAAUUAUAGCAAAACAACUUUUUCCCAAUUGAAACUUUUGUUUUCUAUAAUUAACAUUGCUAACUUGCAAUACUUAUCAUAAUUAUCAUGCUCCCACUAACAUGAUGAUUAUUAGCAUAACACUUAUGCUCCCACUAGCUUUGACAUGUACUCAGAAAUCAGCUGGACUUCUAGAAAUCAAUACUUCAUUGACUUUCUUACCAAAGUUCAGAUUUCUGAUGCUAGAUUGUUUUGAUAAAACUUUAUCAAAAUCAUACACCUUCCCUUAGAUAGCACACUUGUGUGUCUAAACAAUUAUGAAGAGGUAUGCCGUAAUCAUAAUGGUUAGACCUUUUUGCCACUUCUCACAAGUCCAGGUUAGUGUGCCGGUUAACCACACGCGCUCCACUAACGACUUUGAGAAUGCAAAUAUCACAAUUGCUAUCUAGAUAAAAUCUACUUAGUGAAAGUGUUUCCUCACCAUCAUUUUCAUGAAUCGGAGAGAAACCUUAUGACACUUAGAUUUAUAUGGUGUAUGAGUUCCUACCCAUAUGAAUUUGUCAAACCAUAAUCACAAGACAAAGAUAAUGACAAAUCCAAAACCAUAUGGAUUGAACUCAAUCUUAACUUCUUGCCACCUGGCAGCUCAAGGGCCUGCCAUUGCUUCCAAGUUGUUAUGCAACAAACUGAGAACUCUAAGAACUCAUAUGCAAAGCCAACUUUAACUGGAAUGGGCACAGAUAUGUCAACACGAUAGGUUAUAAACCUCAAGUCGUGUGCUAGUGAAGAACUUCAGGUUUUAUUCUUGAUUAGUUCUUGAGACUUUCAAGACCUUUAAGACUCCCACUGUCCUCUUGACAUAUAAGACUCCCUUGUCAAACAUCCAAGAGAUAGUGCGGAUUCUAAUCAAGAAAAACACUUUACCCAAUUGGCCUAAGUUGGUCUUUGUUUUAUCCAAAACAUCACAACUUACCAAUUUCAAAUGUACAAGAGUAGAAAACUUUUACUCUUACAUUUGACAAGUGUUUUAAACCUUCUUUAAGACAUGUCACUCAAAUGACAAUCUUGGAGUAUGACUCUAAGACUUGUAUUGGAACGAAGUAUGACUCAUCUUCUUGAUUUAACCAUUUCAACAAUUCAAGUUCCUCUUCUUAGUCAUAAGAAUGCACUAAGAUUUCCUUAGAGAACUAAUUUUGAUAUGGUUUCUUAAUCAUUAAGAUGAUCACAAAACUGAUACUAAAGUACUCUCCCAUCUUUUCAGAUUUGAGAAACUUUUAUCCUUCUGCCUUAUUUGAUUCUUCUUAUCGAUCUUUAGUGGUGGACUUAAUCAGUGCACAAGAAUGUGUACUCGAUCCCUAAGUCCUUUACUUGACUCACACAUCCAUGUGAACAAGUAAUUAGUCUUAAUUUUCCAAAACUUGAAAGUUCUCAUUCAUCAUGCUAUACAACUUGCAUGAUUCCAAGUUCCGGUCCAAUUGAAACUUGGGUGAUGAGAAUCUUUCCUUAUUUGGUAAAUUUAGACAUUACCACAAAUGAAAGAAUCAAUUUCAUACUUCCACUCUUGCUACUAAUGGAAUCUUAUAAGCAACAAAAAUUUCCACAGAUGCCAUUGUAAGGAUAUUUUAAAAUAAAUAAAAUCAAAAAUUUCCUUUUAUUUUAAAACUUUGCGGAAAAACUAUCCUUACAAUCCAUAUGAAAACUUGUUGUUAUCUAUUCCUAAGCAAUAUCUCAUAACUCCUAAGAAGUAGCUCAAGAAUCCGAUUUUUCAAACUAUGCGAUAGAAAUCCAUCUAUGCGAUCAGAUUCAGCAUAUUCUUCCUUUAAGUUUCUUCACUUUCCUUUGAUUCUUAAACCAUCACCAUGCGACCCGGUCACAUCAUGUAUCAAGAAUCUCAGAAUAGAAACUUAACAGAGUUAGAUAGUGGAUUUUACCUGAAGUAGAGUCAAACUUAUUGACUUUAACAUCCUUAGGUAAAUUUGGCAGCUUCGCAACCAAUGCCCUUUCUUUGGCAAUACAAACAUAUGGACCCUUUGAUAAUGGUACACAGGACUAUCACAGACUUAGCUUUUCUCUUUACCAUUUGGUCAACCGAGUUGACUAUAGCCGAUCCCUUUCCAUUGGGAAGAGAAUGCUUUACUGGAUAUCCAAUGUCAUCAUUGUCAAUGUCCAUAAAGUUUUAGGAAGUUGAUCUUAACAAAUAGAUAAGAUCAUUAAGGGUCUUGUCAUAGUCUUUUUCAUAGGUGUUCCAAAAGAACUCACUAUGUGACUUAGAAAGUAGUUGAACCACCAACUUUCUCAAGACUUUGACACCCAACUCUCCCGGCUUGUCAAUAUGUGACUACAUCUCCAAGAUGUGACCACACCUAGACCUUGCCUUGCCAAAAGGGCCUGAGUGACCUUAAACUUUUCAAGAACUUGUGGGUUAGGGAGAAUAAUUUGAAGAGGUGAAGAAGUAUGAUAUCCAUGGGACAUCAUCUUCAUUAGGAAACCUUGUUUCAAGAGAUUUGGGAAGAUCAUAGGUGUCUAAACCAGACAUCUUUUGGGAGAUAUUCAAGAUAGUUGAUUUAAAGUCCUUAAUAUGACACCCAAUAUGAAAUAUUAAGGCUAGGACCCAACAAACUAUUUUAUAACUUAGAAGAGGUAUGCCGUAAUCCAAGCUAUAAAAUAUUUGAAGGUAGGUGAAUGACGAUUCACCAAUUUCCACCAAGAUAAACGAAAUGUAUUAUUAGGUUUUAAUUGGUUUUGAAACUCCUAGAUCUUUGAGAUUCAUUGAACUUUUCAAAGGCAUGUUUCAAUCUCGAGUGUGCCCUUCAGGUUUUGUGACUGGGAUGCCGAGGAUCACAAAACAAGGUGUGAAGUAACCAUGCAAAUCACUUGGUACCCUUAAUAAAUUACCCCUCAAUCGAUGUGCCGGUUAACCACACACGCUCCAUCGAUACUAUGAUAAAUAUUAAGUCACCCUUUACCUACCUUGUUAAGUCCAAGUUAGUGUGCCGGUUAACCACACACGCUCCACUAACGACUUAGACAAAGUGUAAAGUGUAAUUUCAUGGAUUAGCACCUUAUUCACAUUUUUCCUAAGUAACUAAGAUUGGGUAUUAUUAAGAGUUUAGUUACUUAGUAUUAUCAUUAAUACUUUUAAUGAAGGGAGAAUUCUAGUCCUGUCAAACCCGUUCGGCUAACGACCCUCCACCAGUCAAGCAAGCGGUGGGUGAGAGUGGACACCCAUUAAGUUGCCAUUUUAUAGGCAACAACCUUAUACCCACCUUAUAGACCGGCUUCGUGAAUGAGGCGUACUAGCGGUAAGACUGACUUUACUCUUAUACAUAUAUAUAUUAUUAACUUAUAAUAUUAUAAAGUAUAAGGGUUGAAUUUUAACUUUUAAAAUUCUAAGGGCUAACUUGGAAUUAAAGUAUUCAUAAGUGAAAACUUUACAAAUUCCAAAACUUGAGGGCAAGUUUUGAAACUAUUCAAAACUAAUUAAUUCCAUAACUUAUGUGUUUAAAGUAGUUUUAAUCCAAAAACUCUUCAAGUUCCAUAACUUGAGGACAAGUUAUGGAAGACUUUAAACUAAUAAAAGAAUUAACUUUUCUUUAUUUUAUAACUUAUGGAAUUAAUUAAGGUUACACUUUUUUUUUUUUUAUUUUAUUUUAUUAAAUGAAGAGACUCUUGGUCCUCCAUAACUUGAGGACAAGUUAUGGAGUCAUAAAACCAUUUAAUUAGAACUAGACUCUUCAUUUUUGUAACCUUUGCCAAUUUUUAUGAGUUUUAUGAUUCUUAAAUGUGACUUUUCAUAUAACUUGAGGACAAGUUACAAAAACACAUUUUAGAAUCAAUUCUUAGAUUAAUUUGGAUUAAAACCAACUAUCACAUAAUUUUAUUCAUUAAUCUAAAUUCACUCAUAAAACAAGGUAACACAAAAAACUUUUGGUGAUCCAUAACUUAUUCUUAAGUUAUGGAAUCCUUUAAAACAUUAACACCAAAUUUUGUAACUCCAAAAAAACUUUGAAUCAAUUUUUUUUUUAAAACCUUUUCAUAUCCAUAACUUAUGGAGGUUUCAAAAAAUAAAACUCUUUAGAUCAAACUUUUAAAACUAAUAAAAUAAUCAUAUUAUUUUAUCUUUUAUUAAAUUUGACCUAAUUCAACUCAUAAAGCAAAUUAUUCAAAUUUUACAAAUAAUUAGUUUUUCACAAGAACAAGUAAUUAUCUUAAAAUUUGACAAACUUCAUGUUUUUUUUUUUUUUUUUUUUCAACUUUGAAAAUAAAAUAUUUGCAUCAAUAUAACAGAAAACAACCCGUGGCUCUGAUACCACUGUUGGGUUUUGAGCAUUCUAACACUUCCUAAGUGUACAUGCAACCCUAAAUACCUUGGAUCUAUGUUUUCUCUAUUAUACAUGCAAAUAAGAACUUCCAAGGUAUUAUCCUAAUCUAGCAUACAAAACAAUGGAUAUAACAAGAUAGAAUACAUACCUUUUUCAUGUAGAAAGUCUUCAUGAAGCUUGAGUGCCUAGUGCCCCAAGUGUGACACCUCAAAUGGUUCACACAACACCAAAUACACUUGGAAUAACUUGAGAGAAUUCUCCACUUCAUGAAAUCGGCUAGCCCUCUCUAGAAUCAUACUAGUUCCCGAUUUUGUCAAGAAUAAGAUCUUUAUUAAGUGUUACAAUUAGGGUAAACCCUAAUUGUCAUGACUUUCCAUUUCCUUGGAUCCAUGGGUUCAAAUACACCAUGGAGCAUCCAUGGACCAUCCUAUGGGUUUUAGCCUAACUUGAUUAUCCAUGGAGCAUUAGCCCACUAUACAAGUAUGGAUGAAUUACACAAUCAAGCCAUAUAUUUAAUUAGUCUUCUUUUGAUCACUUAAUUAAUCCUAGAUUAAUUCUUGAUCAAUACUAAUUAAAUAAUUUUAUUAUUAUUAUUAUUAAUAUACUAGAACUUAUAAUAUAUUAAUAACCAUAAGUGUCUUAUUUCUCUCAUUAUAGUCUAUCCAAGUGCAUGAUGUCAUGCAACCCAAAUGGACCAUCCCGGGUC
RNAcentral lists this long non-coding RNA (7278 nucleotides) under Lactuca sativa (garden lettuce). RNAcentral's name for it is "long non-coding RNA (LSAT_LNC003994)". Lineage: Eukaryota; Viridiplantae; Streptophyta; Magnoliopsida; Asterales; Asteraceae. The record is from RNAcentral.